CCUACGUGUGGCAGCAGUGGGGAAUAUUGCGCAAUGGCCGGAAGCCUGACGCAGCGACGCCGCGUGAGGGAUGAAGGUCUUCGGAUCGUAAACCUCUGUCAGCAGGGAAGAACGAUCACUGUGCUAAUCAUCAGUGAAUUGACUGUACCUGCAAAGGAAGCACCGGCUAACUCCGUGCCAGCAGCCGCGGUAAUUCGGAGGGUGCGUGCGUUAAUCGGAAUUACUGGGCGUAAAGGGCUCGUAGGCGGGACGUCAAAUCCAGGGUGAAAUCCCCGCGCUGAACGUGGGAACAGCAUUUGAAACUGGCAAACUGGAGAGGGUGAGAGGAUAGUGGAAUUCCAGGUGUAGGAGUGAAAUCCGUAGAUA
This 366-nucleotide ribosomal RNA is filed under the name uncultured bacterium. Its description in RNAcentral is "partial 16S ribosomal RNA". It matches the Rfam family "Bacterial small subunit ribosomal RNA", at positions 338 to 696 of the family's 1533-position model. The record is from RNAcentral.